CGGGGUGUAGCGCAGCUUGGUAGCGCGACCGGUUUGGGGCCGGUAGGUCGCAGGUUCAAGUCCUGUCACCCCGACCA
This 77-nucleotide transfer RNA is filed under the name Eubacteriales Family XIII. Incertae Sedis bacterium. Its description in RNAcentral is "tRNA-Pro". It matches the Rfam family "tRNA". From Rfam's summary of the family: Transfer RNA (tRNA) molecules are approximately 80 nucleotides in length. Their secondary structure includes four short double-helical elements and three loops (D, anti-codon, and T loops). The record is from RNAcentral. Lineage: Bacteria; Bacillati; Bacillota; Clostridia; Peptostreptococcales; Anaerovoracaceae.